UUUGAUGUCAAAAUGUCAUACAUUAUGAGGAAAAAUUAUGCAUAAAGGCUGACUAGUCCUAGUCGGUUGUAGGUAUUGUCUUAGGGUCAUAACAUGGGGUUCACGUUCUCAAUCGUGGUGACUCCCCGCAUCUUCAUUUAAAUCAGCCAUCUCACAAGGUGUGAGAUACUGCGAAGGAAUUUUAGGGAUGUGUCCUAAGGAAUGAUCUAAAGUUGUACGACUUAAUCAACCGGUAUCGUCCAUAUUCCACUUUAGCAUGCAAAAUAUUUUUCUCCCUUUUUUAAAAAAAAAAU
Molecule: long non-coding RNA, 293 nt
Filed under: Phoenix dactylifera (date palm)
Lineage: Eukaryota; Viridiplantae; Streptophyta; Magnoliopsida; Arecales; Arecaceae
Description: long non-coding RNA (PDAC_LNC007132)
Source: RNAcentral